UAGGCUGGUCUAUUUGGAAGGACAAACUUUGGAAUGAGAUCAAUCUGAUGCUCGAUCUCUCUGAUUGGUGGCAAUCCUUUUGGUAACUCUUCCGGAAACACAUCUGUAAAUUCUUUCAAGAUCUCCUUCAUUUGCGGUGGAAGGGAGACUUCUUCACUUGGAACCUGCUUAGCUACAAGAACAAAAAUAAUUUCAUGGUUAGUCAAAACUCGCUUCACUUCCCCC
Molecule: long non-coding RNA, 225 nt
Filed under: Elaeis guineensis (African oil palm)
Lineage: Eukaryota; Viridiplantae; Streptophyta; Magnoliopsida; Arecales; Arecaceae
Description: long non-coding RNA (EGUI_LNC075662)
Source: RNAcentral